This 565-nucleotide ribosomal RNA is filed under the name uncultured archaeon. RNAcentral describes it as "bacterial SSU rRNA". It matches the Rfam family "Archaeal small subunit ribosomal RNA", at positions 326 to 891 of the family's 1478-position model. The record is from RNAcentral.
CGGGGUGCACCAGGCGCGAAAACUUUACAAUGCUGGAAACAGCGAUAAGGGGACCUCGAGUGCCAGGUUACAAAUCUGGCUGUCGUGAUGCCUAAAAAGCAUUGCAUAGCAAGGGCCGGGCAAGACCGGUGCCAGCCGCCGCGGUAACACCGGCGGCUCGAGUGGUAACCGUUAUUAUUGGGUCUAAAGGGUCUGUAGCCGGCCGGAUAAGUCUCUUGGGAAAUCCAGCAGCUCAACUGUUGGGCUUUCAGGAGAUACUGUCUGGCUCGAGGCCGGGAGAGGUGAGAGGUACUUCAGGGGUAGGGGUGAAAUCUUGUAAUCCUUGAAGGACCACCAGUGGCGAAGGCGUCUCACCAGAACGGACCUGACGGCAAGGGACGAAAGCUAGGGGCACGAACCGGAUUAGAUACCCGGGUAGUCCUAGCCGUAAACGAUACUCGCUAGGUGUCGGCCACGGUGCGACCGUUGUCGGUGCCGUAGGGAAGCCGUGAAGCGAGCCACCUGGGAAGUACGGCCGCAAGGCUGAAACUUAAAGGAAUUGGCGGGGGAGCACAAGGGCGAUUGC